Molecule: non-coding RNA, 1627 nt
Organism: Osmia lignaria (orchard mason bee)
Lineage: Eukaryota; Metazoa; Arthropoda; Insecta; Hymenoptera; Megachilidae
Source: RefSeq, a predicted model, not a curated record
UUGGUUCCCAACAUUUUUUUUUUUAUGAUAAUUUAUCUUUUUUUGAAUAACUAUUACAAUUGUGCUAUUAUCAUUGCAUUUAUUAAUAAUUAAUUACAUGUGCUGCAGUUUUUAUAGAAUUUAAGUUAUGUUUUCUAUCCAGUACGUACAUUACCAUCCUUACCGCAUUCGAAAUUUACACGCGUUUAUUUGUUAUUACACACAAUUAUUUUUUGCAACUUUAGUUUUCAUCUGUUAUAUACAAAUUUGCUGUACAUAAAUUUAUAAUCUUCUGCCCUGGGUUCUAUUCUUGGCCGCCUACGUCCAUACAUAACUAGACCUUCAUUUGUUUACUGACAAUAAUGGCUGUAGUAAAGCGAACAAAAGCGAAUCGAGGCAUCGCACAUUAUAACGGCGUAAAAAAAAGGUAGUGACAAGUGCAGCUUCAUUCUUUAUUAAUUUAUUAUUAAAAAAUAAAGAUUUAAUUUUACCAUUAGAAGAGGACACAGAAGACAGUGAGGAAUCCAAAACAAUAGGAUAGAAAUUAUAUUUAUAUUUUAUGUAAAUUAGCGAUGCAUUAGAAUGCAUGAGCGAAAAAUAUCGUGAAGACGAAGAUGAAGUAAAUAUCAGCGACGAAGAACUCUUCGCAUACGAAUCGGAUCAUGAAAACGAUAACUGCAUUAUCUGCAGAAUCGUCUCAUGAAGAGACGAGGAUAUACUGCGCUAUAUGCAUUGACACUGUCAGGCAAACUUCUUUCAAAAGUAUCUAUUUGCUUGCAAGAAGUUAGUGGAAGAUUUGGUCCUCAAGUUUCUCAAGAGGUUGCAAGACCGAUGGAAGAAUUUAGAAAUGUUGUAUUCACAUGCACAAAAUCUGGUAAAUUACACACGGACACUUAUAAACAAUUCUUAAACAACCCUAGCAACGAAGAAUACGUUCCUGUACAUUAUUGAUUCUUGGGCAGGUCAAAUAAAUCCUGCCCUAUAUGAGGAACUCAAAGAUGAGAAUGAACGACGUGUACAUUUAAAGUAAUACCACCGAAAUGCAUACCCUUGUGUCAACCCUAUGUAUACUUCUACCGGCAAGUAAAGCAUUUAAUACCAAGAAUACAAAACCAUUAUGCAUCAGAGAAGGACAGCUUGAAAGGAUGCCAUCAAAAUUCAGUCCGUGGUGCAUCACCACCUGUCGGCGGCAGCUUAUGCGGAAAUGAUAAGAUACGCCUGAUUUGCAACGAAGCUGUCGCCACAGAGGGGAACGUUCUGCCAUGUGAAUACGAAGAAAACACCCUACACAUGCGACGUGGACGCGUUUAUACGCUGUUCAUGGUGCAGGGUAUUUCUAUUCUUUGGAUGCUUCCUUACAUAUUAUCAUCCUCGGGAUUGCGGCUGAACAGGAUAAGGACUUCAUCUUCUUCUUCACGAUCUUCUUCGCUCAUGCGUUCUAAUGCAUUGUUAAUUUGCACAAAAUAUGAUAUAAUUUUUGUCCUGUCGUUUUGGAUUCUGCACUAAUGUCUUCUGUGUCUUUUUCUAAUGGUAAAAUUAAAUCUUUAUUUUUUAAUAAAUUAAUGAAAAAGGAAAUUGCACUUGUUGCCUCACUAUUGUACAUAAUUGUAAAUAAAUGUAAAAAUAAAUAGCUGUAAAUAAUUGUAAA